RNAcentral lists this ribosomal RNA (460 nucleotides) under uncultured Cellulomonas sp. Its description in RNAcentral is "bacterial SSU rRNA". It matches the Rfam family "Bacterial small subunit ribosomal RNA", at positions 920 to 1382 of the family's 1533-position model. The record is from RNAcentral. Lineage: Bacteria; Bacillati; Actinomycetota; Actinomycetes; Micrococcales; Cellulomonadaceae.
CCCGCACAAGCGGUGGAGCAUGUGGUUAAUUCGAUGCAACGCGAAGAACCUUACCAAGGCUUGACAUACACCGGUAACGCCCAGAGAUGGGUGCCCCUUUGUGGUCGGUGGACAGGUGGUGCAUGGUUGUCGUCAGCUCGUGUCGUGAGAUGUUGGGUUAAGUCCCGCAACGAGCGCAACCCUCGUCCUAUGUUGCCAGCGGGUCAUGCCGGGGACUCAUGGGAGACUGCCGGGGUCAACUCGGAGGAAGUGGGGAUGACGUCAAAUCAUCAUGCCCCUUAUGUCUUGGGCUUCACGCAUGCUACAAUGGCCGGUACAAAGGGCUGCGAUACCGCGAGGUGGAGCGAAUCCCAGAAAGCCGGUCUCAGUUCGGAUUGGGGUCUGCAACUCGACCCCAUGAAGUCGGAGUCGCUAGUAAUCGCAGAUCAGCAACGCUGCGGUGAAUACGUUCCCGGGCCUU